Long non-coding RNA from Oncorhynchus nerka (sockeye salmon), 616 nucleotides. RefSeq lists it as uncharacterized. The record is from RefSeq and is a predicted model, not a curated record. The transcript is spliced from 2 exons. NCBI's taxonomy places the organism in Eukaryota, Metazoa, Chordata, Actinopteri, Salmoniformes, Salmonidae.
UGAAGCCGUUUACUAUUGUGCAGCGAGAACAGCCUAUGAAGUCAACUUUAUCAAUGGGACUCUUUUACUAUUGAAAGGGAUUCAGUGGUGACUGGCCUCAAUUACACUGCAGUGACCUUUAUGACCAAGACAACUGGAACCAGGAGAAAGAAAUGAAAGAACGGGGAGCAUCCAGUCGGUCAACCAUUUUAAGUUGCAACCUGACAGAAACAAGCAAUCUUUUUUUACAGACAUAGAUUACAGUUUGUUUUCUAUAGUUUGAAGGGGUGUAAAUCCCAGAGUUACUAACCAAUCCUGUAUACAGUGUGGCUUGUGCUUUCUUCUUUCUUUGAUUAUUUCUGAAAUUAAGUGUGACUGCAUGUGCAGUAUGUUUAAUUAGUAGUCCAUUUCAAAGAGUUGAACUUUGAUGACAAUUGUAUAAAUCAACAAAAAAAAAAUAAAAGCUCAAUUUUUUUUAAAUAACAUGAUGAAUCAGACUGUUUAAUUAUAAAGUAGUUUGAUGAUUCUACACAGCCCUACUGGUACAUGCUGGUGUGUUACAGCUAUAAUCAUGCUGCUGGACCUGAAGAAAUACUGUUGAACAUAAUUAACCUACAUUAAAUACAAUGUUUAAGAA